Molecule: non-coding RNA, 31 nt
Filed under: Mus musculus (house mouse)
Lineage: Eukaryota; Metazoa; Chordata; Mammalia; Rodentia; Muridae
Source: RNAcentral
UAGUUUUCAGGUCUCAAAAGCCAGAAAGGCU